Non-coding RNA from Ceratotherium simum simum (southern white rhinoceros), 6589 nucleotides. Lineage: Eukaryota; Metazoa; Chordata; Mammalia; Perissodactyla; Rhinocerotidae. The record is from RefSeq and is a predicted model, not a curated record.
UUGGGGGGGAGGGUGGGGGUUACUUUUUGAAGUGCUGGGGAACUUUUUCCCCUUUUUGAGGCCAGGGGAAAGGGAAUGCCCAAUCCAGAGAGACAUGGGGGCAAGAAGGACGGGACUGGAGGAGCUUCUGGAACUUUGCAGCCGUCAUCGGGAGGUGGCAGCUCCAACAGCAGAGAGCGUCACCGCUUGGUGUCGAAGCACAAGCGGCAUAAGUCCAAGCACUCCAAAGACAUGGGGUUGGUGACCCCCGAAGCAGCACCUUUGGGUACAAUUAUCAAACCUUUGGUGGAAUAUGAUGACAUCAGCUCAGAUUCAGAUACCUUCUCUGACGACAUGGCCUUCAAAGUAGACAGGAGGGAGAAUGAUGAACGUCGUGGAACUGAUCGGAGUGACCGCCUGCACAAACAUCGUCACCACCAGCACAGACGUUCCCGGGACUUACUAAAAACUAAACAGACAGAGAAAGAAAAAAACCAGGAAGUCUCCAGUAAGUCGGGAUCGAUGAAGGACCGGAUUUCAUGCAGUUCAAAGCGUUCCAAUGAGGAGAAUGAUGACUAUGGAAAGGCACAGAUAGCCAAAAGCAGCAGCAACAAGGAAUCGAGGUCAUCCAAACUCCAUAAGGAGAAGACCCGGAAAGAACGGGAAUUGAAGUCUGGGCACAAAGACCGGAGUAAAAGUCAUCGGAAAAGGGAAACACCCAAAAGUUACAAAACAGUGGACAGCCCCAAACGGAGAUCCAGGAGUCCCCACAGGAAAUGGUCUGACAGCCCCAAGCAAGAUGAUAGCCCCUCAGGAGCUUCUUAUGGCCAAGAUUAUGACCUUAGUCCCCCAAGAUCUCACACCUCUAGCAAUUAUGACUCCUACAAGAAGAGUCCUGGAAGUACCUCAAGAAGGCAGUCAAUUAGCCCACCUUACAAGGAGCCUUCGGCCUACCAGUCCAGCACCCGGUCCCCCAGUCCCUACAGUAGACGACAGAGGUCUGUGAGUCCCUACAGCCGGAGACGAUCGUCCAGCUAUGAAAGGAGUGGCUCUUACAGUGGGAGAUCACCUAGUCCCUAUGGUCGACGGCGGUCCAGCAGCCCUUUCAUGAGCAAACGAUCUCUGAGUCGGAGUCCACUCCCCAGUAGGAAAUCUAUGAAGUCUAGAAGUAGAAGUCCUGCAUAUUCAAGACACUCAUCUUCUCAUAGUAAAAAGAAGAGAUCCGGGUCACGCAGUCGACAUUCCAGUAUCUCACCUGUCAGGCUUCCAUUGAACUCCAGCUUGGGAGCUGAACUCAGUAGGAAAAAGAAGGAAAGAGCAGCUGCUGCUGCUGCAGCAAAAAUGGAUGGAAAGGAAUCCAAGGGUUCACCUAUAUUUUUGCCUAGAAAAGAGAACAGUUCAGUAGAGUCUAAGGAUUCAGGCUUGGAGUCUAAAAAGUUACCCAGAGGUGUAAAAUUGGAAAAGUCUGCCCCAGAUACUGAACUGGUGAAUGUAACACAUCUAAACACAGAGGUCAAAAAUUCUUUAGAUACAGGGAAAGUAAAGUUGGAUGAGAACUCUGAGAAGCAUCCUGUUCUUAAAGAUUUGAAAGCACAGGGAACAAGAGACUCUAAACUCGUAGCAUUGAAAGAGGAGAUUGUUACUCCAAAAGAGACAGAGACAUCAGAAAAGGAGACCCCUCCACCUCUCCCCACAGUUACUUCUCCUCCACCUCCUUUACCAACUACUACCCCUCCACCUCAGACACCUCCUUUGCCACCUUUGCCACCACUACCAGCUCUUCCACAGCAACCACCUCUGCCUCCCCAACCAGCAUUUAGUCAGGUUCUUGCUUCUAGUACUUCAACUUUGCCCCCUUCUACCCACCCAAGGACAUCUACUCUGUCCUUUCAGGCAAAUUCUCAGCCCCCUGUACAGGUUUCUGUGAAGACUCAAGUAUCUUUAACAGCUGCUAUUCCACACCUAAAAACUUCAACGUUGCCUCCUCUGCCCCUCCCACCCUUAUUACCAGGAGAUGAUGACAUGGAUAGUCCAAAAGAAACUCAACCUUCAAAACCUGUAAAGAAAGAGAAGGAACAAAGGCCACGUCACUUACUCAUGGACCUCCCUCUCCCUCCAGAGCUCCCUGGUGGGGAUCCCUCUCCCCCAGACUCUCCAGAACCAAAGGCAAUCACACCACCUCAGCAACCGUAUAAAAAGAGACCAAAAAUUUGUUGUCCUCGUUAUGGAGAAAGAAGACAAACAGAAAGCGACUGGGGGAAACGCUGUGUGGACAAGUUUGACAUUAUUGGGAUUAUUGGAGAGGGAACCUAUGGCCAAGUAUAUAAAGCCAAGGACAAAGAUACAGGGGAGCUGGUGGCCCUGAAGAAGGUGAGGCUAGAUAAUGAGAAAGAGGGCUUCCCAAUCACAGCCAUUCGUGAGAUCAAAAUCCUUCGUCAGCUAAUCCACCGAAGUGUUGUUAACAUGAAGGAAAUUGUCACAGAUAAACAAGAUGCACUGGAUUUCAAGAAGGACAAAGGUGCCUUUUACCUUGUAUUUGAGUACAUGGACCAUGACUUAAUGGGACUGCUAGAAUCUGGUUUGGUGCACUUUUCUGAGGACCAUAUCAAGUCAUUCAUGAAACAGCUAAUGGAAGGAUUGGAUUAUUGUCACAAAAAGAAUUUCCUGCAUCGGGAUAUUAAAUGUUCUAACAUUUUGCUGAAUAACAGUGGGCAAAUCAAGCUAGCAGAUUUUGGACUUGCUCGGCUUUAUAACUCUGAAGAGAGUCGCCCUUAUACAAACAAAGUCAUUACUCUUUGGUACCGACCUCCAGAACUUCUGCUGGGAGAGGAGCGUUAUACACCAGCCAUAGAUGUUUGGAGCUGUGGAUGCAUCCUUGGGGAACUGUUCACCAAGAAGCCUAUUUUUCAAGCCAAUCUGGAACUGGCUCAGCUAGAACUGAUCAGUCGACUCUGUGGUAGCCCUUGUCCAGCUGUGUGGCCUGAUGUUAUCAAGCUGCCCUACUUCAAUACCAUGAAACCGAAGAAGCAAUAUAGAAGGCGUCUACGAGAAGAAUUCUCUUUCAUUCCUUCAGCAGCACUUGAUUUACUGGACCACAUGCUGACACUAGACCCUAGCAAACGUUGCACAGCUGAACAGACCCUACAGAGUGAUUUCCUUAAAGAUGUCGAGCUCAGCAAAAUGGAUCCUCCAGACCUCCCGCACUGGCAGGAUUGCCAUGAAUUAUGGAGUAAGAAACGGCGACGGCAGCGACAAAGUGGUGUUGUGGUAGAAGAGCCACCUCCAUCCAAAGCCUCUCGAAAAGAGACGACCUCAGGGACAAGUGCUGAGCCUGUGAAGAACAGCAGUCCAGCACCACCUCAGCCUCCUCCUGCCAAAGUGGAGCCUGGGGCUGGGGAUGCAAUAGGCCUUGGUGACAUCACACAGCAGUUGAAUCAAAGUGAAUUGGCAGUGUUAUUGAACCUGCUGCAGAGCCAAACUGACCUGAGCAUCCCUCAAAUGGCUCAGCUGCUUAACAUCCACUCCAACCCAGAGAUACAGCAGCAGCUGGAGGCCCUGAACCAAUCCAUCAGUGCCCUAACAGAAGCUUCCCAGCAGCAGAAUUCAGAGCCUGUGGCCCUAGAAGAGUCUUUGAAGGAGGCACCCCCUGCCCCAGUGGUUCAGCCUUCAGCAGAACAGACGACCCCUGAAACUUCAAGCACACCAGCUGACAUGCAGAAUAUGUUGGCAGUUCUUUUGAGUCAGCUGAUGAAAACCCAGGAGCCAUCAGGCAGCCUGGAGGAAAACAACAGUGACAAGAACAGUGGGUCACAGGGGCCCCGAAGAACUCCCACAAUGCCACAGGAGGAGGCAGCAGGUGACAGCAGCAGCAGGAGGGAUGGCCUCUGAGGAAUUUGGUGAUGUCCAUCAGCCACCUGGCAUCCAGAGCCCUGGCAAGUUCACUCUUUCACAGACUCUAAAGCCAGGUUUGAUGGGAGAUCCCAUCUGUCCAAACACUAUGCAAGACACCAGAAGUAGAAGCUUACAAGCCUGCUUCUCUCCAUCCUCAGUGCCUAGAAUCAGGCAGGUCACCAGCCUUCAGUGCCUGGCCCCACUCUUCUUGUUGCCAGAUGUGGAAAUGGAGACCCAGAGAGGGGAAGUCAGUUGAAUCCUGUCCUGGAGCUGCUGUGUGUUUCUGGAUUUGAAGAGUUCCUGGGAACACAGGGAAAGAUUCCUAGAGAUGAAGGAGGGAGCUCUGGCCCUGCGAAUAGGAAGAUGGUGGGCUCCGGCGCCCUUUGGGUACAUAUCUGCCUGGCUGGAGGAGGGGGGAGGAAGAAGGCUGCUGGCAGCUCACUUGAGCUCAAGAUUCUGAUGACUCAUAGCAAUGGGGGCGGCUCAUGAAAACAACAGAGAAGAAGGGGGUCCAGGCCUGUUAGACCUCUCUUUUACCCUAUUUCUCCCCGACUCUCAGCUCUGUGGACAAAGGUCUCUCAUCUGGAUUGUUGAGCAAGAAAAGGCCCUAGAAAGAAGAGAGGGAAAUGGGAGAGGAGAGAGCAAGAAAAGCUGAGCGUACCUAGUGAGAGACUUCCCAGUAAGGAAAGAAUAGGAGAGGCCAGUUAUUCUUGCCUUACUGUAUCCAUUGGCUGCACAGAGUGUACUGGGCAUCCACAUGUGCUGGGGCAGUUCAGCACUCCUGGGCACCUUCCAGAAGAGGAGCUUUCCAGGCAGACACAGCUACUCUUCCCUGCCCUCACUACUUGUCCAGAGCUCUAGGUACCCAGCUGACACCACAUGACUUAGGAAUUUUUUUUUCAAAAAAGCACUGUUCCAAGAACCAGGAAGGAUUACACUUGGUCUCGGGACUCUCUUCCCUGGAAACAGACGUCAUAGAUCUCCAAAGUUGCUGAUUUCCUCUUCCCUUACAGGCCAAGUUGGCAAUGUUCAUUUUCUCUAUCCUUUCUGAAUUAGGGGGAUGAUAGGAUACUGUGUUUGAGAUCACACCAACAGAAAGGGACCAGAAGGUGGACCAGGAGAACCAUUCAUGCCUCCAACCACAGGACCAGGUGCCUCCUUGUUUCAGCAAAGGGAAGCAGCAAUCUUGGAUACCAAUGUAUCCAGAUACGUAAUAAUAAAUACCCUUGCUCUAACCUCAGAGAAGGAUUUGCUAAGAGGAGGGGAGUUCUCUGACAGCCUGAAUUUUCAUUUGCCUGUUUGUAUUCCUUUCGUUACUGUUGGCUCUGCUCUCCAGCUGGGGUGAGCGUCCCUCUGCUCCUGGAGAUCCAGAGACAAUUUUGAUUGGAGAAAGGACAGACCAACCACUCUUCAUGUAGAGAGAUGGGACCCGCUCCACUCUCCCAGCUCUCCCUGGCAGCAUCAGGAGCCCAAGGGCCCUUGCUGGAACACCGAUAAUAAAGCUCAGUCCUGAACUGAACCAACACAUUACCUGGCUCUUGUAUAAGUGGUGCUAUGAGAGGGAUCCUGGGUGCACCCAGGUGGGGUGUAGGCAGAUGUGGGGACUUCAGCCCCAGAGGAGAGAGAAGAAUCACUCCUUGGUACCACAUGCUCCUCCUCUUUCUCAAACCUUCUCCUCGGUCCCUCUUUUACCUCCCUUCAGCCAACUCCACUCCUGGCCACCUUAUCCCCUCCAAUCUGAGAAGACAUGGUAAGUAGUUGUCUGUUCCUACACUUUUCUCUCUCUCACUCUCCUCCUCUCCUCCCAGUUCCCAGCCAAGAGUUAUCCCAUUUGAACUCUUUCCACCAGUGAAUGCCAUCAGGAUCUGAACCUAGAAUCCCCAGCCUCUGCCACCCCUCUGACUCUGAGAAUGCCUCUCUGACUCUGAGACUGACUCAUCAGUCCUCACAAAUAUAGCCAGGCCAAGGCUGGUAUGUCCACUGGCACCAAGGGCCCUGACCUGAAGCAGAGGGCAGCGCUAGGGGUGCAGUGAGGCCUGGCCCUAAAUGCGUGUAUGUCUGUGCAUUGGGCACGCUGGUUUAUUAGUGUUAUUUCAGCAUUGUGAUGCAGAGAGAGUAAGUGUAACAGCUGCUCCUUGCUUGCAGUGUUUAUUGUUACCUAGAGACAACCUCCUGGCUUUUUCCCAGCUCCCCCUCCCCCCCAGCCCAACCCCCUCCCUGCCAACAGUCCUACUCUCCACACACUGAUGGGAAAUUUAUAGCUUGCCCAUACCAUGCCUUUAACCCUCUCCUAUCUAUAGGAUAGGUGGGGCGAGGGAAGCCAAAGUGAGCAGUGGGCAUGCUUGGGCCCCAGCAGGGUAGAAUAGUGUAUGGAGGAGAGAGGGAGGGACGGAGGGAGGGAGGGAGGGAGAAGACACCUCCCCUCCACAAUCUGUGUGUCCAGACUCAGGUCCCAGUUGCCCUCCUGGAUCUCAUGUUGAGAGAAAAGAGCUUUGGACCUAGCCUUGGGAUCCCAGCAUCCUCCUCACAAGAUUAUUCUCUUCCCUGGGCAUCUCUGAGCCCCCUAGUUGGGCUGCCGGUCCUGGGCAAGUACAUCGAGAUAGUAUUGAAGAAGAGAAGUAAAUACAGAGUGGCAGAACCCCCAGCCCGCUCCUUUCUAUAGAGAUGUCAUAUUGAGACAAAAAAGAGGUUGUGGCAUGAGGGGUGCUAGCCAGAUCUG